CCGGUUGAUCCUGCCGGAGGCUACCGCUAUUGGAGUUCGAUUAAGCCAUGCGAGUCGCGAGUCUUAGGGACUCGGCGUACCGCUCAGUAACACGUGGGUAACCUGCCCUAUGCUGGGGGAUGCCCUCGGGAAACUGAGAAUAAUACCCCAUAGUUCACCACGCCUGGAACGGUGGGUGGACCAAAGCUCCGGCGGCAUAGGAUGGGCCUGCGGCGUAUCAGGUUGUAGGGGGUGUAAUGUACCCUCUAGCCCUCUACGCGUACGGGUGUUGAGAGACAUCGCCCGGAGAUGGAUUCUGAGACACGAAUCCAGACCCUACGGGGUGCAGCAGGCGCGAAAACUUGGCAAUGCGAGAAAUCGUGACCAGGGAACUCCAAGUGCAUCGGGUAAGACCGAUGCUUUUCUUGACUCUUCAAAGGUCUUGGAAUAAGGGGUGGGUAAGGACGGUGCCAGCCGCCGCGGUAAUACCGGCGCCCCAAGUGGUAGUCGCUUUUAUUGGGCCUAAAACGUCCGUAGCCGGUCUGGUACAUUCGUGGGUAAAUCAACCAGCUCAACUGGUUGAAUUCUGCGAGCACGGCCAGACUUGGGACCGGGAGAGGUGUGGGGUACUCUCAGGGUAGGGGUAAAAUCCUGUCAUCCUGAGAGGACCACCUGUUGCGAAGGCGCCACACUAGAACGGAUCCGACGGUCAGGGACGAAGCCUAGGGGCACGAACCGGAUUAGAUACCCGGGUAGUCCUAGGUGUAAACGCUGUGGACUUGAUGUUGGGGGCGCUCCGAGCGCACUCAGUGUCGAAGCGAAGGUGAUAAGUCCACUGCCUGGGGAGUACGGUCGCAAGGCUGAAACUUAAAGGAAUUGGCGGGGGAGCACCGCAACCUGAGGAUUGUGCGGUUUAAUUGGAUCAACGCCGG
This 911-nucleotide ribosomal RNA is filed under the name uncultured archaeon. RNAcentral describes it as "bacterial SSU rRNA". It matches the Rfam family "Archaeal small subunit ribosomal RNA", at positions 4 to 921 of the family's 1478-position model. The record is from RNAcentral.